GUGAGAACCCCCAAGAGCUAGAGCCAGAGUGAGGCCUCUGUAGGCCAUCCUGGGGGUGGCUGGCCACGGAAGGUCUAUAAGGGAGCCGGGGGGAGGGGCGAGCAAGGGAAGCGGAGCAGAAUUUCUGAGGUGGUGAGGAAAAGGAAUACAACAUGUGCCAGUAACUGUUUCAAUUUGCCCCUUAUCCUUGGAGAGGGUACCAAGGUGGCAGCCAGGAGGGCUGUAAUAGAGGCUGAACCAGAAGAAGGGCAUGGUGGGGGAGCCACCUGGCCUUCCUCUGUUGAGGCCUGGAAGCUUCUGCCCAGGCCAAGGCUUACUGCAGGAGGCCUUUCUCCCAGAGCUCUCUGCAGACUUGGUGACACAUCCCCAAGGCAAGCAAGGGCCCCCGGCCUGGGCCCACCUCAAACCCUACAGCUCCAGGGGAGAGGAGCCAACAUGGCCCUCCCUUCUCUUGGUCCCUACAGUCUUGUGUGAGCGCUGUUACCAAGGGGAGUAACAGCUAACAUCUACUGAGCGCUGUGUGCCAGGCACCAUUCUAAGCACUCUUAGCAGCUGCAACUGCCACCUCCUGCAGUCCUGCCUCCAUUCACAGACCACACUCCAUGUGCCUGUCCCAUGCUGCCGUCCUGGGAGUGUCCCACAAGUGCCUGGGUCUUGGUGAAGGCUUGGUGAGUGGUGAGUGUCUGUGGACUUGACUUGUCCUCCACUGGGAUUCACGGUGGAUGUGGUGUGCCCAUGGCGAUGAAGGCCUUGGACUGCUCUGACUUGAACCGGUUGUCCAUCUAUGCCACGGAGAUUCAUUGAGCACCCAUCACACGCUGGACUUGGUGCUGAGCACUUGGGAGCAAAUCACAGACAGGGGUCUUUCUCUCAUAGAGCUUACUGUUGUGGAAG
RNAcentral lists this long non-coding RNA (894 nucleotides) under Equus asinus (donkey). RNAcentral's name for it is "lncRNA (ENSEASG00005030556.1)". Lineage: Eukaryota; Metazoa; Chordata; Mammalia; Perissodactyla; Equidae. The record is from RNAcentral.